Molecule: ribosomal RNA, 206 nt
Filed under: Salmonella enterica subsp. enterica serovar Newport
Lineage: Bacteria; Pseudomonadati; Pseudomonadota; Gammaproteobacteria; Enterobacterales; Enterobacteriaceae
Description: partial 16S ribosomal RNA
Rfam family: Bacterial small subunit ribosomal RNA
Source: RNAcentral
AAAUUGAAGAGUUUGAUCAUGGCUCAGAUUGAACGCUGGCGGCAGGCCUAACACAUGCAAGUCGAACGGUAACAGGAAACAGCUUGCUGUUUCGCUGACGAGUGGCGGACGGGUGAGGAAUGUCUGGGAAACUGCCUGAUGGAGGGGGAUAACUACUGGAAACGGUGGCUAAUACCGCAUAACGUCGCAAGACCAAAGAGGGGGAC